GACAGCAGUCGCCACGGGAAUACGGAGGAUCCGAGCGUUAUCCGGAAUUAUUGGGUUUAAAGGGUGCGUAGGCGGAUAGAUAAGUCAGUGGUGAAAGACGGUGGCUCAACCAUCGCAGUGCCGUUGAUACUGUUUAUCUUGAAUAUGGAUGAGGUAGGCGGAAUGUGGCAAGUAGCGGUGAAAUGCAUAGAUAUGCCACAGAACACCGAUUGCGAAGGCAGCUUACCAAGGCAAAAUUGACGCUGAGGCACGAAAGCGUGGGGAUCGAACAGGAUUAGAUACCCCUGUAGUCCCUGUCUCUUAUAC
Molecule: ribosomal RNA, 306 nt
Filed under: uncultured bacterium
Lineage: Bacteria
Description: partial 16S ribosomal RNA
Rfam family: Bacterial small subunit ribosomal RNA
Source: RNAcentral